CUUGGUCAUUUAGAGGAAGUAAAAGUCGUAACAAGGUUUCCGUAGGUGAACCUGCGGAAGGAUCAUUAUCGAGUUUUGAUGUGGGUUUGAUGCUGGCCUUUCGAGGCAUGUGCUCGCCCCGCUCAAUCCACUCUACACCUGUGAACCAUUGAGGUGCUGCCCUCCAAUUUGGAGCAGCUUCCCUUUUGACCUCCCUCUGGGAGGACGAGAGGUGAGGCCGGGGUGACACCUCUACUUACAAACACUUAAAGUAUAACAGAAUGUAACCGCCAGCAAUGGCAAAACAAAUACAACUUUCAACAACGGAUCUCUUGGCUCUCGCAUCGAUGAAGAACGCAGCGAAAUGCGAUAAGUAAUGUGAAUUGCAGAAUUCAGUGAAUCAUCGAAUCUUUGAACGCACCUUGCGCUCCUUGGUAUUCCGAGGAGCAUGCCUGUUUGAGUGUCAUGAAAUUAUCAACUUCACAAGCUUUUUGUGAGCAUGUGAAGCUUGGACUUGGGGGUUGCUGGCCUUUAUUGGUCGGCUCCUCUUGAAUGCAUUAGCUGGACUUUCUGAUCACAGAGCGGUUCACGGUGUGAUAAUUAUCUACGCCAUGGUAAGCCCGUCUCUGAGUUCUGGUCGAGCUCAUAAUCGUCCUCGGACACUUUUCAAAUCUGACCUCAAAUCAGGUAGGACUACCCGCUGAACUUAAGCAUAUCAAUAAGCGGAGGA
RNAcentral lists this ribosomal RNA (709 nucleotides) under uncultured Basidiomycota. RNAcentral's name for it is "eukaryotic LSU rRNA". The stretch from base 292 to 445 matches the Rfam family "5.8S ribosomal RNA". Lineage: Eukaryota; Fungi; Basidiomycota. The record is from RNAcentral.